Molecule: ribosomal RNA, 2893 nt
Filed under: human gut metagenome
Description: bacterial LSU rRNA
Rfam family: Bacterial large subunit ribosomal RNA
Source: RNAcentral
ACUAAGCGUACACGGUGGAUGCCCUGGCAGUCAGAGGCGAUGAAGGACGUGCUAAUCUGCGAUAAGCGUCGGUAAGGUGAUAUGAACCGUUAUAACCGGCGAUUUCCGAAUGGGGAAACCCAGUGUGAUUCGUCACACUAUCAUUAACUGAAUCCAUAGGUUAAUGAGGCGAACCGGGGGAACUGAAACAUCUAAGUACCCCGAGGAAAAGAAAUCAACCGAGAUUCCCCCAGUAGCGGCGAGCGAACGGGGAGCAGCCCAGAGCCUGAAUCAGUGUGUGUGUUAGUGGAAGCGUCUGGAAAGGCGCGCGAUACAGGGUGACAGCCCCGUACACAAAAAUGCACAUGCUGUGAGCUCGAUGAGUAGGGCGGGACACGUGGUAUCCUGUCUGAAUAUGGGGGGACCAUCCUCCAAGGCUAAAUACUCCUGACUGACCGAUAGUGAACCAGUACCGUGAGGGAAAGGCGAAAAGAACCCCGGCGAGGGGAGUGAAAAAGAACCUGAAACCGUGUACGUACAAGCAGUGGGAGCACGCUUAGGCGUGUGACUGCGUACCUUUUGUAUAAUGGGUCAGCGACUUAUAUUCUGUAGCAAGGUUAACCGAAUAGGGGAGCCGAAGGGAAACCGAGUCUUAACUGGGCGUUAAGUUGCAGGGUAUAGACCCGAAACCCGGUGAUCUAGCCAUGGGCAGGUUGAAGGUUGGGUAACACUAACUGGAGGACCGAACCGACUAAUGUUGAAAAAUUAGCGGAUGACUUGUGGCUGGGGGUGAAAGGCCAAUCAAACCGGGAGAUAGCUGGUUCUCCCCGAAAGCUAUUUAGGUAGCGCCUCGUGAAUUCAUCUCCGGGGGUAGAGCACUGUUUCGGCAAGGGGGUCAUCCCGACUUACCAACCCGAUGCAAACUACGAAUACCGGAGAAUGUUAUCACGGGAGACACACGGCGGGUGCUAACGUCCGUCGUGAAGAGGGAAACAACCCAGACCGCCAGCUAAGGUCCCAAAGUCAUGGUUAAGUGGGAAACGAUGUGGGAAGGCCCAGACAGCCAGGAUGUUGGCUUAGAAGCAGCCAUCAUUUAAAGAAAGCGUAAUAGCUCACUGGUCGAGUCGGCCUGCGCGGAAGAUGUAACGGGGCUAAACCAUGCACCGAAGCUGCGGCAGCGACGCUGAUGCGUUGUUGGGUAGGGGAGCGUUCUGUAAGCCUGCGAAGGUGUGCUGUGAGGCAUGCUGGAGGUAUCAGAAGUGCGAAUGCUGACAUAAGUAACGAUAAAGCGGGUGAAAAGCCCGCUCGCCGGAAGACCAAGGGUUCCUGUCCAACGUUAAUCGGGGCAGGGUGAGUCGACCCCUAAGGCGAGGCCGAAAGGCGUAGUCGAUGGGAAACAGGUUAAUAUUCCUGUACUUGGUGUUACUGCGAAGGGGGGACGGAGAAGGCUAUGUUGGCCGGGCGACGGUUGUCCCGGUUUAAGCGUGUAGGCUGGUUUUCCAGGCAAAUCCGGAAAAUCAAGGCUGAGGCGUGAUGACGAGGCACUACGGUGCUGAAGCAACAAAUGCCCUGCUUCCAGGAAAAGCCUCUAAGCAUCAGGUAACAUCAAAUCGUACCCCAAACCGACACAGGUGGUCAGGUAGAGAAUACCAAGGCGCUUGAGAGAACUCGGGUGAAGGAACUAGGCAAAAUGGUGCCGUAACUUCGGGAGAAGGCACGCUGAUAUGUAGGUGAAGCGACUUGCUCGUGGAGCUGAAAUCAGUCGAAGAUACCAGCUGGCUGCAACUGUUUAUUAAAAACACAGCACUGUGCAAACACGAAAGUGGACGUAUACGGUGUGACGCCUGCCCGGUGCCGGAAGGUUAAUUGAUGGGGUUAGCGCAAGCGAAGCUCUUGAUCGAAGCCCCGGUAAACGGCGGCCGUAACUAUAACGGUCCUAAGGUAGCGAAAUUCCUUGUCGGGUAAGUUCCGACCUGCACGAAUGGCGUAAUGAUGGCCAGGCUGUCUCCACCCGAGACUCAGUGAAAUUGAACUCGCUGUGAAGAUGCAGUGUACCCGCGGCAAGACGGAAAGACCCCGUGAACCUUUACUAUAGCUUGACACUGAACAUUGAGCCUUGAUGUGUAGGAUAGGUGGGAGGCUUUGAAGUGUGGACGCCAGUCUGCAUGGAGCCGACCUUGAAAUACCACCCUUUAAUGUUUGAUGUUCUAACGUGGACCCGUGAUCCGGGUUGCGGACAGUGUCUGGUGGGUAGUUUGACUGGGGCGGUCUCCUCCUAAAGAGUAACGGAGGAGCACGAAGGUUGGCUAAUCCUGGUCGGACAUCAGGAGGUUAGUGCAAUGGCAUAAGCCAGCUUGACUGCGAGCGUGACGGCGCGAGCAGGUGCGAAAGCAGGUCAUAGUGAUCCGGUGGUUCUGAAUGGAAGGGCCAUCGCUCAACGGAUAAAAGGUACUCCGGGGAUAACAGGCUGAUACCGCCCAAGAGUUCAUAUCGACGGCGGUGUUUGGCACCUCGAUGUCGGCUCAUCACAUCCUGGGGCUGAAGUAGGUCCCAAGGGUAUGGCUGUUCGCCAUUUAAAGUGGUACGCGAGCUGGGUUUAGAACGUCGUGAGACAGUUCGGUCCCUAUCUGCCGUGGGCGCUGGAGAACUGAGGGGGGCUGCUCCUAGUACGAGAGGACCGGAGUGGACGCAUCACUGGUGUUCGGGUUGUCAUGCCAAUGGCACUGCCCGGUAGCUAAAUGCGGAAGAGAUAAGUGCUGAAAGCAUCUAAGCACGAAACUUGCCCCGAGAUGAGUUCUCCCUGACUCCUUGAGAGUCCUGAAGGAACGUUGAAGACGACGACGUUGAUAGGCCGGAUGUGUAAGCGCAGCGAUGCGUUGAGCUAACCGGUACUAAUGAACCGUGAGGCUUAACC